Molecule: ribosomal RNA, 500 nt
Filed under: uncultured bacterium
Lineage: Bacteria
Description: partial 16S ribosomal RNA
Rfam family: Bacterial small subunit ribosomal RNA
Source: RNAcentral
AUUGAACGCUGGCGGCAUGCCUUACACAUGCAAGUCGAACGGCAGCACGGGAGCAAUCCUGGUGGCGAGUGGCGAACGGGUGAGUAAGGUAUCGGAACGUGCCCAGUCGUGGGGGAUAACGUAGCGAAAGUUACGCUAAUACCGCAUACGAUCUAUGGAUGAAAGCGGGGGAUUGCAAGACCUCGCGCGAUUGGAGCGGCCGAUAUCAGAUUAGGUAGUUGGUGGGGUAAAGGCUCACCAAGCCGACGAUCUGUAGCUGGUCUGAGAGGACGACCAGCCACACUGGGACUGAGACACGGCCCAGACUCCUACGGGAGGCAGCAGUGGGGAAUUUUGGACAAUGGGCGAAAGCCUGAUCCAGCCAUGCCGCGUGCAGGAUGAAGGCCUUCGGGUUGUAAACUGCUUUUGUACGGAACGAAAAGGUUUGGCCUAAUAAGCUGAGCUCAUGACGGUACCGUAAGAAUAAGCACCGGCUAACUACGUGCCAGCAGCCGCCGCUG